UCGGCCAGCCACAGCCCCAAGAAUACGCGGAGGAGGUGGCUCGGGUCGGUGUCGGCGCAGUCCGGCACGGGCCACGGGCCCGUUUCCAAGUGCGUCUGCACGCCGGCCACUCAGGACGGGUCCUUCAAGUGCCGCUUCCACCGCACCAACUCCUAGGGCCACGGCCAGGGAAGCCGCCCUUCUUCGCCCCCUUCACCGGCCGCGGCCAACGCUGUGCCGCGGCACCCGGCCUCGCCGUCCUCGUCCUCCGGCACCGUCACGACCCAGUGA
RNAcentral lists this ribosomal RNA (270 nucleotides) under Triticum aestivum (bread wheat). Its description in RNAcentral is "partial small subunit ribosomal RNA". The record is from RNAcentral. Lineage: Eukaryota; Viridiplantae; Streptophyta; Magnoliopsida; Poales; Poaceae.